AAUAAAAUCAAUGAAUCACCCUCUCACCCCUGACCUCUCACCCCAGACCCUAUAGCAGUUGUCCCAAACUAGUGGCCCGUGGGCUGAAUUUGGCACUCUUUAAUUUGGACCCCCGGGUUUUCUAAGCAAAAAUAAUAAUAAUAAUACUCUUCUUUUUUUUCUUUUUUUUGUUUUUUUAAAUAUAAGACUAAAAAUCUAAUUUUAUUUGUCACAUGAUUGGUAAACAACAGGUGUGGUCUAACAGUGAAAUGCUGACUUAUGGGUCCUUGGUAAACAACAGGUGUGGACUAACAGUGAAAUGCUGACUUAUGGGUCCUUGGUAAACAACAGGUGUGGACUAACAGUGAAAUGCUGACUUAUGGGUCCUUGGUAAACAACAGGUGUGGACUAACAGUGAAAUGCUGACUUAUGGGUCCUUGGUAAACAACAGGUGUGGACUAACAGUGAAAUGCUGACUUAUGGGUCCUUGGUAAACAACAGGUGUGGUCUAACAGUGAAAUGCUGACUUAUGGGUCCUUGGUAAACAACAGGUGUAGACUAACAGUGAAAUGCUGACUUAUGGGUCCUUGGUAAACAACAGGUGUGGACUAACAGUGAAAUGCUGACUUAUGGGUCCUUGGUAAACAACAGGUGUGGACUAACAGUGAAAUGCUGACUUAUGGGUCCUUGGUAAACAACAGGUGUGGACUAACAGUGAAAUGCUGACUUAUGGGUCCUUGGUAAACAACAGGUGUGGACUAACAGUGAAAUGCUGACUUAUGGGUCCUUGGUAAACAAC
Long non-coding RNA from Oncorhynchus keta (chum salmon), 778 nucleotides. RefSeq lists it as uncharacterized. The transcript has 3 exons. The record is from RefSeq and is a predicted model, not a curated record. NCBI's taxonomy places the organism in Eukaryota, Metazoa, Chordata, Actinopteri, Salmoniformes, Salmonidae.